This 77-nucleotide transfer RNA is filed under the name Clostridia bacterium. RNAcentral's name for it is "tRNA-Ile". It matches the Rfam family "tRNA". Rfam says of the family: Transfer RNA (tRNA) molecules are approximately 80 nucleotides in length. The record is from RNAcentral. Lineage: Bacteria; Bacillati; Bacillota; Clostridia.
GGGCCUUUAGCUCAGUUGGUUAGAGCAACCGGCUCAUAACCGGUAGGUCCCGGGUUCGAACCCCUGAAGGCCCACCA